Long non-coding RNA from Felis catus (domestic cat), 1090 nucleotides. RefSeq lists it as uncharacterized. The transcript has 3 exons. NCBI's taxonomy places the organism in Eukaryota, Metazoa, Chordata, Mammalia, Carnivora, Felidae. The record is from RefSeq and is a predicted model, not a curated record.
GCCCAAUGCAGGGCUUGAACUCAUGACCCUGAGAUGAAGACCUGAGCUGAGAUCCAGAGUCAGAUGCUCAACCAACUGAGCCACCCAGUCGUCCCUCCAACACUUAUUAUUUUCUGUCCUUUGGAUCAUAGCCAUCCCAGCAGAGGAGUGGAUAAAAAGUAUGUUUAUAAAGGGACGACCUAGGGAAGGGGGAACUUGAUGACACAGGAGAUGUUGGGGUCUCUGGAGGAGCGAAGCCCGCAGAAGAGGAGAGAGAGAAUGAGGGGUCUCGGCCUCAAGGCAAUGGACUGGCUUUGGAUGGAGAAGGGAAGGGUGCUUCAACCCCCUCCGCUGGCUUGGAGAAGAGGAGGCUGGUGGAACAGCAGGAGACAAAACAAGGCGUCCGGCAAGGCCCCUCUUACCCUUCCAGAUGGCCACCUCUGAUACGGCUUGAAGUACCUACUGUGACCCUGUCCUCGGUGCCCACAGCUCGGCACAUAAGGGCCUGGGCGUGUGAGCUCGUGGUGUGAGAGGACCCGGGCGGGCGUGUGAAAACCCAGGGCCCAGGAACCGUGUCUGCUUACCAGGUGUCGUUGAACACCACACGCCUGUGAACAUGUUGAGGAGAGCGGCAGGUGGGGGUGCUCUGCAACGCGGGGACAGGCCCAGGGCCAGGAAAUGGUGUCUGCCCUUCGCCAUAAACGGUCAGCCGGCACUUUGAACCAGGUUUAUGGCCUUGGCCGGGUUCCCGCCUUCGGAGGUCUCAGACUGUACAUCAUCCCAAAGUCCGGGCCGCUUGGAGGUGGGCGAAGAGAGGAGGACAGUUCACGCCGCCAAAAUCAGAUGAAGACGAACAUCCCGAGUGGCCCUGGCGGGGCGAGAAGCCACACAGGGCUGUGUGAUUUGCGGCUUCCUGUUCUGGCAUUCCUGACGGCAGGAAUGGGGCAGGAGGAAGAGGGUUCUGAUCCCUGGAAACUGCAGGGGUGGUCAGGUCUGUUUUUAGCCUCUGCUGGGGGUGGGGGUGGGGGUGGCUGGCUCCCUUGUCCCCUCCUACUCUUGGCUGACCCCUGGGCAGCUGGGCCCGGAGUGGCGGGCAGGGCCUUUCUUGUUC